RNAcentral lists this ribosomal RNA (865 nucleotides) under Staphylococcus epidermidis. RNAcentral describes it as "bacterial SSU rRNA". It matches the Rfam family "Bacterial small subunit ribosomal RNA", at positions 32 to 878 of the family's 1533-position model. The record is from RNAcentral. Lineage: Bacteria; Bacillati; Bacillota; Bacilli; Caryophanales; Staphylococcaceae.
AACGCUGGCGGCGUGCCUAAUACAUGCAAGUCGAGCGAACAGACGAGGAGCUUGCUCCUCUGACGUUAGCGGCGGACGGGUGAGUAACACGUGGAUAACCUACCUAUAAGACUGGGAUAACUUCGGGAAACCGGAGCUAAUACCGGAUAAUAUAUUGAACCGCAUGGUUCAAUAGUGAAAGACGGUUUUGCUGUCACUUAUAGAUGGAUCCGCGCCGCAUUAGCUAGUUGGUAAGGUAACGGCUUACCAAGGCAACGAUGCGUAGCCGACCUGAGAGGGUGAUCGGCCACACUGGAACUGAGACACGGUCCAGACUCCUACGGGAGGCAGCAGUAGGGAAUCUUCCGCAAUGGGCGAAAGCCUGACGGAGCAACGCCGCGUGAGUGAUGAAGGUCUUCGGAUCGUAAAACUCUGUUAUUAGGGAAGAACAAAUGUGUAAGUAACUAUGCACGUCUUGACGGUACCUAAUCAGAAAGCCACGGCUAACUACGUGCCAGCAGCCGCGGUAAUACGUAGGUGGCAAGCGUUAUCCGGAAUUAUUGGGCGUAAAGCGCGCGUAGGCGGUUUUUUAAGUCUGAUGUGAAAGCCCACGGCUCAACCGUGGAGGGUCAUUGGAAACUGGAAAACUUGAGUGCAGAAGAGGAAAGUGGAAUUCCAUGUGUAGCGGUGAAAUGCGCAGAGAUAUGGAGGAACACCAGUGGCGAAGGCGACUUUCUGGUCUGUAACUGACGCUGAUGUGCGAAAGCGUGGGGAUCAAACAGGAUUAGAUACCCUGGUAGUCCACGCCGUAAACGAUGAGUGCUAAGUGUUAGGGGGUUUCCGCCCCUUAGUGCUGCAGCUAACGCAUUAAGCACUCCGCCUGGGG